RNAcentral lists this ribosomal RNA (788 nucleotides) under uncultured archaeon. RNAcentral's name for it is "bacterial SSU rRNA". It matches the Rfam family "Archaeal small subunit ribosomal RNA", at positions 85 to 876 of the family's 1478-position model. The record is from RNAcentral.
ACGGCUCAGUAACACGUGGAGAACCUGCCCUAAGGUGGGGGAUAAUCUCGGGAAACUGAGGCUAAUACCCUAUAGGUCAUGAAUGCUGGAAUGCUUCGUGGCCCAAAGCUCCGGCGCCUUAGGAUGGCUCUGCGACCUAUCAGGUAGUAGUGAGUGUAACGGACUCACUAGCCUUCGACGGGUACGGGCGUUGAGAGACGUCGCCCGGAGAUGAACUCUGAGACACGAGUUCAGGCCCUACGGGGCGCAGCAGGCGCGAAAACUUCACAAUGUGGGAAACCACGAUGAGGGAACUCCAAGUGCCGGCACUAAGUGUCGGCUGUUUCCAAGCCUAAAAAGCUCGGAGAGUAAGGGCUGGGUAAGACGGGUGCCAGCCGCCGCGGUAAUACCUGCAGCCCAAGUGGUGAUCGUUUUUAUUGGGCCUAAAGCGUCCGUAGCCGGCUUGGUAAAUGCCUGUGUAAAUCGAACGGCUUAACCGUUCGACUUGCGGGUAGACUGCCAGGCUUGGGACCGGGAGAGCUCUGGGGUACUCCAGGGGUAGAGGUGAAAUUCUGUAAUCCUUGGGGGACCACCGGUGGCGAAGGCGCCAGAGUAGAACGGCUCCGACGGUGAGGGACGAAGCCCUGGGGCGCAAACCGGAUUAGAUACCCGGGUAGUCCAGGGUGUAAACGCUGUGGGCUUGGUGUCGCGAGUCCUACGAGGGCACGCGGUGCCGGAGAGAAGUUGUUAAGCCCACCGCCUGGGGAGUACGGCCGCAAGGUUGAAACUUAAAGGAAUUGGCGGGGGAG